CUGCGGAAGGAUCAUUACAGUAUGUUCAGAGGUGGCUUUGCUGCUGGCUCCUUCACCGGAGCAUGUGCGCGCCCCCUCGCCUUCAUCCACAUAUACACUUGUGCACCUCGGUCGAAGCCUCCCGUCUGGAGCCGCCUUGCUUUUACCGCUUGGCUGAGGCCUCGACUGCUUUAUUACACUACAGCCUGUCUUUAACGCAUGUCUAAUGUCCUACGGGAUGAUAUUAAAUACAACUUUCAACAACGGAUCUCUUGGCUUUCGCAUCGAUGAAGAACGCCGCGMAAGUGCGAAACGUAAUGUGAAUUGCAGAAUUCAGUGAAUCAUCGAAUCUUUGAACGCAUCUUGCGCUCCUUGGUAUUCCGAGGAGCAUGCCUGUUUGAGUGUCGUGAACUCUCUCAACCCUUCCCUUUCUCUAGGGCUCUCGGGUUGGAUUUGGACGCCUGCCGCGGGUUUCGACCUUGCCGGCUCGUCUUGAAAUGCAUCAGCUGGUCCGCCGCAUGAGCUCGGUUCAACAACGGUGUGAUAAGAAACGCUUCGUGUCUGUAGCGCCGUUUUCGCCGACUCUUUGGAGAAGGACUGCUUCCAACCGUCUUAGGACAAACAUUCACUUCAUCUGACCUCAAAUCAGGUAGGACUACCCGCUGAACUUAAGCAUAUCAAUAAGCGGAGGAAAAGAAACUAACAAGGAUUCCCCUAGUAACGGCGAGUGAAGCGGGAAGAGCUCAAA
This 727-nucleotide ribosomal RNA is filed under the name Ramaria pinicola var. robusta. RNAcentral's name for it is "eukaryotic LSU rRNA". The record is from RNAcentral. Lineage: Eukaryota; Fungi; Basidiomycota; Agaricomycetes; Gomphales; Gomphaceae.